This 417-nucleotide long non-coding RNA is filed under the name Solanum tuberosum (potato). Its description in RNAcentral is "long non-coding RNA (STUB_LNC001378)". Lineage: Eukaryota; Viridiplantae; Streptophyta; Magnoliopsida; Solanales; Solanaceae. The record is from RNAcentral.
UUUUUUCGUCUGUAAAAUUGUUAAUCAACCCAUUCGUACACUCUAUGCGAUCGAAUAUUUCUUACACACAUGAGUUUUUAUACAAGGUAUCGAACUUAUGAAUCUAUUUUCUUUGUGAUUUUUGUGGUUAGUCUUUGAAUCCUAAGAAAGAAUACAGAAAUAGGCUAAGAAUUCACUUCGAAUGAAGAAAUUUAGACUAUUGUUUCCUGAUAUCUCAAUUGGUCAAAUUUAAAAUAAAGUGUAUCCUUUCGAUGAAUGAUCGAAAGAACCACUUUAAGUAAUGAAUAUUAUUCAGAUUUUUAGACGAAAGAACUCCUUUACUAUCAAAAUAUCCAAUAUUUCAAAAAAAAUUCACUGAUUACCCAUAGUCAGGAAUAGAAUAAUUGAGGGAAAGAUAUUAGGAUGAUCAAAAAAAAA